This 253-nucleotide ribosomal RNA is filed under the name uncultured bacterium. Its description in RNAcentral is "partial 16S ribosomal RNA". It matches the Rfam family "Bacterial small subunit ribosomal RNA", at positions 524 to 776 of the family's 1533-position model. The record is from RNAcentral.
UACGUAGGGUGCAAGCGUUGUCCGGAAUUAUUGGGCGUAAAGAGCUCGUAGGCGGUUUGUCGCGUCUGCUGUGAAAAUCCAGGGCUUAACCCUGGACCUGCAGUGGGUACGGGCAGACUAGAGUGCGGUAGGGGAGAUCGGAAUUCCUGGUGUAGCGGUGAAAUGCGCAGAUAUCAGGAGGAACACCGGUGGCGAAGGCGGGUCUCUGGGCCGAUACUGACGCUGAGGAGCGAAAGCGUGGGGAGCGAACAGG